UUAGGAAAUGUAGAGGCGUUAAUAGCGCCUUUAUUUGACGAAGGCUCCAGAGGAAGCCACGGCUAACUCUGUGCCAGCAGCCGCGGUAAUACAGAGGUGGCAAGCGUUGUUCGGAAUUAUUGGGCGUAAAGAGCACGUAGGUGGGUUUGUAAGUCAGAUGUGAAAGCCUUCUGUUCAACGGAAGAAUUGCAUCUGAAACUGCGAAUCUUGAGUGUAGGAGGGGAGAGUGGAAC
This 233-nucleotide ribosomal RNA is filed under the name uncultured Planctomycetales bacterium. Its description in RNAcentral is "partial 16S ribosomal RNA". It matches the Rfam family "Bacterial small subunit ribosomal RNA", at positions 434 to 667 of the family's 1533-position model. The record is from RNAcentral. Lineage: Bacteria; Pseudomonadati; Planctomycetota; Planctomycetia; Planctomycetales.